GGUAGCACAGAGAGCUUGCUCUCGGGUGACGAGUGGCGGACGGGUGAGUAAUGUCUGGGAAACUGCCUGAUGGAGGGGGAUAACUACUGGAAACGGUAGCUAAUACCGCAUAACGUCGCAAGACCAAAGAGGGGGACCUUCGGGCCUCUUGCCAUCAGAUGUGCCCAGAUGGGAUUAGCUAGUAGGUGGGGUAACGGCUCACCUAGGCGACGAUCCCUAGCUGGUCUGAGAGGAUGACCAGCCACACUGGAACUGAGACACGGUCCAGACUCCUACGGGAGGCAGCAGUGGGGAAUAUUGCACAAUGGGCGCAAGCCUGAUGCAGCCAUGCCGCGUGUAUGAAGAAGGCCUUCGGGUUGUAAAGUACUUUCAGCGGGGAGGAAGGGAGUAAGGUUAAUAACCUUAUUCAUUGACGUU
Molecule: ribosomal RNA, 417 nt
Filed under: Klebsiella oxytoca
Lineage: Bacteria; Pseudomonadati; Pseudomonadota; Gammaproteobacteria; Enterobacterales; Enterobacteriaceae
Description: bacterial SSU rRNA
Rfam family: Bacterial small subunit ribosomal RNA
Source: RNAcentral